Molecule: RNA transcript, 2290 nt
Organism: Vespula vulgaris
Lineage: Eukaryota; Metazoa; Arthropoda; Insecta; Hymenoptera; Vespidae
Gene: myd
Gene name: 45 kDa calcium-binding protein
Exons: 4
Source: RefSeq, a predicted model, not a curated record
UACGACGACGCGUACGAACGUUUGACCCGCCUGGUGGCGUACGAAUGGAGUCUUCAUCCUAAAGUCGUGUCGUACGCUCGACGAGAGAACGCUCUCGGGCGGAAUAAGUGUCUCUCGUCGAAUCCGUCGGUUCGAGGGAAAAAAAGAAGGAGAACGACUCGUCCAUCGCGUUUCUCAUUAAGCGACUCGUCGUCUCGCGAUUCGGUCCGCUGCAUCCUUGACGGUCGAAUGCUCCGAGCGUUUUCCAGCGAAUCCAUAUGCGAUCGUGACAUCCACGUACGAACGAACCAACGAACGCGAACGAUUCCUCUUUUAUUACGUUACUUCUUUCGUAAAUAAGUGAACAAAGUUUGCUAUUGCGAUUCGUGGGACCUUGGGAACGAUCGUGAGUCGGCUCAAACGAGAGAGCGCUCGACGUUCUUUAGAAAGUCUUUCUAGAGAUAGUAGAUACCAGUCACGGAUAUCAAGUUUCCAUUAACUGCGAUGAAUCGAACCGACAUCGUAAGUAGACGUCUUGGCGAGUAGACGGAAGCUGCUUAGCUCCAUACUACGUACUCUCGUCCAGCGAAUGUACCUUCGUAGAAUGUCAAAGGAAUGAUUUGUCGGCUUGAUAAUCUACCAUGGCUAAGGCUCUUACGAUGGACCAUCUUGGUGCCACUCGUGAUAUAUGUCUCCCUUUUAAUCGUCUGGUACAAGAAAAACUUACCUCUAAGGAGCCGGGUCUCCAUCCCUAAUAACGACGACAAGGACAAGGAAGAUUCCGCGAUCGAGAGCCUAUUUUUCGAACUGGAGUUCGCGACGAUCGGAAAGAAGGAACGAGAUCGUUACGAGAACGCUGGCCUCAACUGGGUGGAGGAAGAGAGUAUAAGGGAGCUCGGGGAUCCGGAGAAUCGCAUGGAUCCGAAAAAUUUGUUGGAGGAUAUCUUUCAAAGGGCUGACCUCGACGAGAAUCAAUUGUUGGACAUUCAAGAGCUCGCUAAAUGGAUUCACGUUAAGAUCACGGCACACGUUCAUCGCGCUAUGAGAGAUAACGUCGGUCUCUUCACUGCCGUCGACAAUAAUCCGAGAAAUGGCGAAAUUUCCUGGGAGGAAUACCACGCGUACUUUUUACGAUUGCACGGUUUCCCGGAGAGUUACGUUCGCUCGCACGAUAAGAGGCACAAGGAGAUGCCGAGAACGUUGAAGGAGAGCAUCAUGAGGGACAGAGCGAGGUGGACCGAUGCGGCGAGAAACGAUCCGGAGAAGUUGACGUUGGACGAGUUUUUGGCCUUUACUCAUCCGGAAAGUAGUCACAGGGCGCUUUUGCAAAUGGUGGAGGAUCUCUUUGAGAAAUUUGGUAAUCCGAUCGAUCACCGUUAUCGAAUCCAUUAUUAUUAUUAUUGUUAUUAUUGUUGUUGUAUCCAUUCGUCACAUCACAUCAUCGUCAUCGUCGUCGUCGUCGUUGUCGUCGUCGUUCUCGUAAUUUUCUCACUAUUGUUAUCUCGCGUAGAUCGCGACGGCGACGAGCAACUGACGGAGGACGAAUUUUCGGAUUUGCCGUCCGAAAGUGUCGGUUUGGAAUUCAACGAAGAUCGGCAUCAAACCGUCGGAGGUAGCGUCGACAGGCGAAAGGAGUUUCGUCACCUCAUCGACAAAAAUAAAAAUGGGAAGGCAGAUCGUACCGAACUCUUGACGUAUAUCGAUCCACGGAAUCCAAGGCACGCUAUUCAAGAGGCCCAACAUCUGAUCAGUCUCUCUGAUAUAAAUCACGACGGGAAAUUAAAUCUCCCGGAAGUUUUGAGCAAGAUGGAUCUCUUCUUAUGCAGUAAAAUGGUCGACACCGAAAAAAGCUUCCACGACGAAUUCUGAUCGAUCGGGAAAUGCGUAAUAUAAGCGAUAUAUUAUUAUAUAUUCAAAAAGACAAUACUCUUUUCUAGUCUUUACGCCGGACUACCGAUUAGAUUUCUGACAACGUGUCUGUGAUAGUCUUUUCAACAUAGAAUAUCAUUUCGAUCAACGUAGCUACGUUAUUAAGAUUCACUAUAUUCUAUAAAUACGAUAUCGCGUCGGUAACAGAAGGAUACUCACCGCGUUGGAUCGAUUCGAUACGAUUGCUCGUUUCGACGAAUAUAUCAACCGGUCGAAUAGUUUUGGCAUUAACAUUCAACGGUACGCACCAGUAGCGAGAGAGAAGACGAAGAGGACGAGUAUAUUGUGUCGUAUCGCGCAUGGACGCAGGAUUUCUUUACCGAAUAUAUAAAUUCCCAUGUACUAUGCAAAGCAAUAAAUUUCUUAUUUCUCAUGUAUUAAA